Molecule: long non-coding RNA, 1788 nt
Organism: Sabethes cyaneus
Lineage: Eukaryota; Metazoa; Arthropoda; Insecta; Diptera; Culicidae
Exons: 3
Source: RefSeq, a predicted model, not a curated record
UUUUAUUGCUAUUAUAUUUUUCGGUUUUCUUUGCAACAUUAGUGCUCAUCGCCUGUUUCCGGCAGCUCACCUGCUUUGAGCAAUGCCAGUGCGUACACAACGUUUUCCCUUUCGACUGGAUGUUUGGUGGACAACGUGGACAACUACUGGAGCGCAUUGGUAACCGCCGCGUUUGUUUGUUUUGAAUUAGUGAAAAUUUCAAGUACUUAGUACUUGCGCGAGUGUUGUUAUUCUAAUACAAAUCAUCACCCGAAUUUGGCACCUCCAAGUCAAUCAGUCAGCGUUUCCUAAACUGAGAUAUCCAGAAUAAAAUGACAUCGAACAAUUAUGCAAAACCGGGUAAAGCCGCGAACGAAUGUUUGUCCCAAUAACGUACCAGCUGGAACAUUUAACUGGCUUGUUUAAUAUAUUCACGGCUUAUCCCGGCACACUGUGAGCGACUUUGCAUACAAUUGCAACUGCAAUUAAUUCUAAUUAACAGCGUAUGACGACGGGUAUGCCAGUGACUAGACUCUGACGUCACGACGCGAUGGUUUGGUUCAAACGUUGUAGGAAUCGGAGAGACAUUGUCCGCUGAGACCCGGCCCUGCUCGGCGUACCUGCAUAGUGGUAAUUUUCAGUGCACAAUUAUUAUCAAUGGAUUCCCGUUUACGUUCCCGAUGUGCAUGAUUUGCGUGCGACAGGAGCGAACUGACGCCCUUUCUGCAUUACAUUAGGUCAUUCGGUUCUACUGGAUAAAUCGGAAUCUGAGUCUUCUUCGCUGCCCGCUCGAGUAGUGUUCGUGCGCACUGAUGACGGUGAUAGUAUCGGUGAUUUGAGAAGGGAGAUGGUCAGCGAUAAUUGCGAUGAGGACGUUGUUGAUGGCAACGAUGAUGUUGGCACUAACUGCCAUGGCGGAUUCCACCAGUGUCGCUCGACUAAUGAUCAAGCAACGACGAGGACCGGAUUAUGAUGCUCGACGAGUGGUCAGCGGUGCAAGCGAAAUGGAAAUGCAAAAGACACAUUCUAUGAGAAGGAGGGCAGGCCGAAGAAGGACAGCACCACGAACACCAAUUUUGGGACGAAUCCAUCUCUUAUUUAACUUACCAAAACGGUUCAUUCACAUUCGCAUACGCUUCAUGACAAACGACUAAACAGAUCUCAUAUUUUCAAUUCUUUCCGAUCGAACCCGCUGAAGCGAACUCGAUUCAUCACCAAGCUGGAGCGUUCGCAGCGCAUUCGGGGUGGCUUACGGAGUACGCGAUCGAGAGGUUACUCUCCAAUCAUACUGUUAUGUCCACUAAGGUGCAAUCGGAGUACAUUUCGAUACAUGCUGCCGUUCUCGGCCGAAGACAUUGCUUCCAGGUGCGUGGUGGUCCUUGCAGUGAGCGGUACUACAGCUGCGGAUUUCGACAGGAAUGGGAUCUGAUCUUUGGAUAUACAGCACUCAACGCUGAAAAUACCAGGCAAAUGGACAACGCACUCAAAUUGUGGAUGUAUGAAGCCCUGGCACCAAUAACCCCUACAUGAAAAUUUUCACUCCGAUCGGUUCAUUAGUGUUCGAUACUAUAAGGAACAUAGGGCAGACAGAUAUCCAUUUUUAUAGGCAUAGCUAUGUAUGGGAGCCCCACCCCCUUCUUCGUGGGGGGAGGGGUAUUUUGCCAUCGAGAGAAUCUUCCCUGGCCCUAAAAACCCCUACAUGCAAAUUUUCACGCCGAUCGGUUCAGUAGUUUUCGUUUCUAUAAGGAACUUAGGGACAGACAGACAGAAAUCCAUUUUUAUAGGUAUAGAUUAUUAAAUAUUAAAUAA